This 60-nucleotide transfer RNA is filed under the name Gastrallus laevigatus. Its description in RNAcentral is "tRNA-Arg". The record is from RNAcentral. Lineage: Eukaryota; Metazoa; Arthropoda; Insecta; Coleoptera; Ptinidae.
AAUAAGAAGCAAAUAUUGCAAUUAGUUUCGACCUAAUCUUAUGGCUUUCAGCCCUUAUUU